This 3543-nucleotide long non-coding RNA is filed under the name Nicotiana tabacum (common tobacco). Its description in RNAcentral is "long non-coding RNA (NTAB_LNC006307)". The record is from RNAcentral. Lineage: Eukaryota; Viridiplantae; Streptophyta; Magnoliopsida; Solanales; Solanaceae.
CAUCGAACCCUAUGUAGGUUGCCUACGUAUCAUGUCCCUCAUGACUCAGAUCAAGCAUAGUUCUGGAAAUGUAAUGGACAAAAUAAACUAGAAAUAAAAAUCUUUUUGGAUUUUUUAUUUAUAACUUUUUUUAGUUUUCAAAUACAUAAUAGGAAGUAUGAUAACAAAAGAUUCGACAAACCCAACUAAAUUAUGACAAACUGACACCAGAUAAAAGACUCAAUACUAUUGGAAAAUACUAGAAAGUAAAAGAUAACAUGAAUGACAGACUCAAAACAUAAAAAGUCGCCUCAAACAAGCUCCUUAAUGCGACGGUCCUGACUGGAAUGAUCUUGGGGUAUCUAUCAUGCUCGAGCUUUGGUAAAUGAAUCCAUACCUGAAUGAAAAAAAUAAUACCAAAUAUAUUAGUGACUCGAGACACUAUGUGAGACCACAACACCUGCUAUUGGACACAUGCAAGACAUAAUUGGGCUAUUUUUGUAAAAUAACCUACAUGGCCAAGGGUGGCUAUUAGUGCAAACUCAACAAAGGUGACCUCAAAGACAUGGAAGCCUCACUAAGGCUUAUAUGGCUUCAAACUCCCAAUAAUUAUGGCCCUAAUAGUUACUUCGCAAAAAUGACCUAUUUUGCAAAAAUGGCCGAUAAGGCCAAAUGCGGCUAGAGAUGCAAAUUUAACAAGGAUGGGUCUUAAAGUAAUAUUACACCUAGUUGUGGACUCAAGAUUCUAAGACAUGGGUCACUGAACCAUUUCCGCAAAAAUGACCCCAUUUUGUAAGCAUGGUCUAUGUGGCCAAAAAGUGGCUAGACAUGCAAACUCAAUAGGAAUGGAUCUUAAAAUUGAGAGGACGCCUUGUUGUGGACUUAGGACUCUAAGACAUGGGAUAACAAGUCACUUUGAUAAAAUAACCCUAUUUUGCAAAAUAACUAAUUUGGCCAAAUGUGGCUAGACAUGCAAGAAUUGGCUACAACCCCAAAAGCCAAGAACCUAAGACUCACUAGGAAGACCGGACCCUAUGUGGGUUGCCUACGUAUCCCGCCCCGAAAUAUGAGAAUCAGGUAUGCGUAGUUCGGAAAGAUUGGAUAUGGAGAGAAUUUAAAAAAAACGCAGAUUUGAAGAAAACAUAUUUUUUUGUCUUUUUUUUUUUUAAAUGAUGAAACAUGUAAAAUCUUUUGGAUUUUCUUUUUCUCUUUUUUUUUUUAAUUUUUUUUUUGGAAAAUGAUGGGAAAGUGCAAAAUCUUUUUGGAUUUUUUAUUUUCAUUUUUUUUGGUCUUUUCUUGAAAAAGUUGUGAAAGAAAAAUAUAACUGGCUCUACUUUCUUCAUCUUUAUACUUCACCCUCUUUUCUUUCUCAUUUACCCUCAACUAUUAUUGGUCCGUCAAAUGAACCCUUUACCCUUAAAGAAUGCAGCAUGUAGCACAUAGGGAUGAUUAAAUUUCUUUUAGAGACAUGGGCCCGUUUUGACAUAAUUUAGAUAGGCCUCAUAUAAAGGAACACAGUGCCUAGGACUGAGCCCUGCUAAGUGUAAAUGACAUGAUGCAAAUAAGCAUGACCUAAAGGCUGACCUAUGUUUGGGGUUAACUAGACAAGACAAUCUGGGGCGACACGUGGUCGAUAGCGGCUGCUCUAGCUGUCCGCCCACUCCACGCUCCUACGCCACCCCUAAAGACACAGGUGACUCACAAAAAGGCUGUGUACGCUCAAACGUUCUCUGGAAGACUUAUUGCUGAAAGAAGACCCAUCGUUAUGCAAAUGAUGACAGUUAUAAAGCGGUAACCACAUAAGGAAAAGCGAUAAACAAAUAAACAACAAAACGGAAAAUGAGACAAACAAACCAACUAAACAAAGUAAAUAAAGAAAACAAACACCUCAACCGAAUAUUCUAAAAGCCAACAAGAUCAAGUAUCAGCUCGAACCUACAACUCCCAAGCAGAGUCGCCAAAGCUGUCACACCCUUUUUUUUUACCUCAAUAACCCUUUUUAAAAAUGCAUAAAUGUGUUUUUUGAAGCUCAAAAGGGUUUUCCAAUUAGAAAGUGACAAAAAUUUAUUUUCAAAAGGAUUUUUCAGAGUCACCACCUGACAUUUGGUUUUGGUGUGCCAGGUCACCUGCUUUUUUUUAAUAACAAAUUCCCUUCAAAACACAUUCGACUCGUAAACUAGUUUGCACCAAAGAUUCAAGGUAAGGGGGUUCAUUUGAUUCGGGGAGAAGGUGCUAGGCAUUUCCCGAGUCCCGUAACUAUUACGGUUGCGUAUAUGAUCAAGUUGGCCUUUAACAUAUUCAAUUUGAGGUAAAAAAAUAACACAUAAAAGAAAAUAAACACAAAAGAGGCUCGAGGUCGUCCCCACCUAAUAAAAGAAAAUAUAUAAAGAAAAGUAAAAUCCUAUCCUAAAUACUAAUGUAUACUAUACUUUUUCAUGAGGUUCGUCACAACCUCCAAAUACAUGAUACUACGGAGCAUACCCCGGAUAAAAAUAUAUACAAUGUCUACGGGGCAUUCCCCUGAAUAUAAACUAAAGGGAAUGACCUAUUACCUCGGCAAAAUAAAAUAAGCGGCCUGCAGUUUGUCUAUCCAAGUGUGAUCGACCUAAACAUGCUACUAGUGGUCAAUAAAAACUAGCAAUAACGAAACAGAAAUAUUAUCACGUCACAUUAACCCAACUCUAUUUCCUUUCAAUUUCAAAUCCCACAGCUCCUUUUAUUCAACUUAACUCAUUAGUUCACUCUUUCAUUUUAUUGAUUCAUGAAACAAUACAAAUUAAAUCACAUUAAUUAAGAUAAGCCCCAAAUUUUCGAUAAUGGCACAUACAUAGAACUUCAUAUUACUUCAAAAAGAUAACAUCAUCAGAAACAUAUCAACAAAAAAAUCACAUAAUAAAAUUAAGGGAUCCAAGGGAAGAAAAAAAGUAUUGGACCUUUAAACUCAAUUGUUUGGUAGCACAAGACUGAAAAGCGAGCGACGAAAGCUAGACUGAACCUUAACUGAACCAGGAACACUAUUGACCAAGAGCCGCAAAGGGGACACCUCAAAAAAUCGAAAAUCGAACUUGACUCAGAUUCGGACAGCAAUAACUUUGAAAUCGUUGAACUCUUGAUCCGAAAUGGUGUUGUAAAUUGGUUUUGUGACUGGUUUUGAUAUGUCCAUGGAUGGCAAAGCUUAGAGGUUCAUGGUGCUUAAAGAAAACAAUUGAGUCACUGGGCAGCAGAAGAUGAUCGGGGUCGUGGAGGCGGCUCGAGAUGGGAGGAGUUGGUCGGCGGCUCUUUUACCAGCGAGUUUUUGGCGGGGGAAGGAAGACUGGUGGCGGCUCUAGGUCAUGGGGGGAUUAGGGAAUGUGCUGAAGAAGAAGAAGGGUUUGAAAGGUCUCCUGAAAAAGAAGAUAAGGUCACCUUUUUUUUUUUUUAAGGAAAUUAGGUUUUUGGUGGGUUUAAAGGGUAUUGAGCUUUGAUUUAGAAAAUUGUGGUCCAUGUCUUGUUGGGUCUUAAUUUUGAACUAAAAAGACUAAAAAAAUAUAAUGUAUUUAUAAAAAUAUAAAACUUACUCUUAAU